Mercurialis annua (annual mercury) is the source of this 1401-nucleotide long non-coding RNA. RefSeq lists it as uncharacterized. The record is from RefSeq and is a predicted model, not a curated record. NCBI's taxonomy places the organism in Eukaryota, Viridiplantae, Streptophyta, Magnoliopsida, Malpighiales, Euphorbiaceae. The transcript is spliced from 2 exons.
AGUCCAUUAUUUAUCGCUAAAUAAAUAUCGUCAAGGUUCCGUUUGAUUUUAAAAGGAAUUGGAAUUAAAUUGAAGUAAUUAGAAGUUGAGGAGUGUAGUUGUAAGAAAUGCCAAAGUUGAGCAUGAUUGUGGACAUUUUCCCUACCCAAAGCAAUAAGAAAAUCACAUAUGGAAACCCACCUCCUCAUUUGUAUAGCAUAUCCACAAUCAGAUAUGAAAUUUAUCAAACCAAACCUCUAUUCCUUUAGAAUUGCCGAAGCCUUCAAUUCCUCUCCUUCACUAUGAACAAAACCUACGGCAACCAUCAAAGUUCCACCGUCCGGCCACCGUUUGUUAUGAUUUUAGCUUGAUUGUAUAGCUAACAUCUGAUGGAUUAAGAUACGACGGAAUAUCGACAUACGAGCUUGGAGAAUCAAGGGAGCUUGAUAAGAAUCGACGUUAUCUUAUUUAUGUUGGAUUGGAUAGCGGUCACUGUGAGUUUAAAGUUUACUUUUGAGUAUUGUUUAUUGAACUAUCUGCUUUAUCUUUGUUAUAUUAUAUGCUUUUUCUGUCGCGUUAUCCUUAUGGUUAUAUGUUUAUUAAUUUGAUUUGUGAUGAACUUUGUUCUAACAAUCCGAAGAAACGUGCUACCUAUUGGGCGUCAAUAGGACUGCGUGAUCACCAGUACUGAGGUUAGAUAAUCCUGUGUCCUAGAGAUUCGUAUGAACUACUAAAUCAGAUGGCGACGGUGGCUUAGUUCCCGGCCAAAACUUAAAGGGAAGCUGUGGCGACGGUGGCAUUGUUCCCGGCCCAGAGACCCAACGCAGAUUUGUGGCGACGGUGGCUUUGUUCCCGGUCCAGAUGCUGCUAUAAUUUCGCAGAUUUCUGGCGACGGUGGCUUUGUUCUCGGUUCAGAUGCUGCUAUAAUUUCGCAGAUUUGUGGCAACGGUGGCUUUGUUUCCGGUCCAGAUGCUGCUAUAAUUAAACUCAUUAGGUUCUGUAGUUGGUAUUUUAAGAAUCUUUGGACUAGGGUUUCAGUCGGAUCGUAUGAUGAUGUGUUGUUGAUGUUUGAUUUAUGAAUUAUUAUUCGAGUAUUUAAAAAUAUGUUAGAUGCUUACAUGAUUUUUAUUAUAAUACCAUCUGUAAACGUAAACUCACUCAGUAUUUCCCAAAAUACUGACUCCCUCACUCUGAUGUUUUUCAGGUAGUCAGAGUCGGAUUAGACAAACCAUCUUCAUUGUGCCAGAAGUCGUCGGACUUGCACAAGUAUGCGUUUCUGAAGCUGCAGUAGUCAGUAGGUGUCAGUUUAGGAUUAGUAAAUUGAUUUCAAAUAGUUGUUUUGAAUGUAAACUCUAAUAUAAUAUUUCAAUAUUUAUCGGUAUAUUACUUAAAAGAGUUUUUCCAAAAAUGUUUCAUAUAUUA